UGGGGAAUUUUGGACAAUGGGCGCAAGCCUGAUGCAGCCAUGCCGCGUGUGUGAAGAAGGCCUUCGGGUUGUAAAGCACUUUCAGCGAGGAGGAAGGUGUGAACUUAAUACGUUCAUCAAUUGACGUUACUCGCAGAAGAAGCACCGGCUAACUCCGUGCCAGCAGCCGCGGUAAUACGGAGGGUGCAAGCGUUAAUCGGAAUUACUGGGCGUAAAAGCGCACGCAGGCGGUUUGUAAGUCAGAUGUGAAAUCCCCGGGCUCAACCUGGGAACUGCAUUUGAAACUGGCAAGCUAGAGUCUCGUAGAGGGGGGUAGAAUUCCAGGUGUAGCGGUGAAAUGCGUAGAGAUCUGGAGGAAUACCGGUGGCGAAGGCGGCCCCCUGGACGAAGACUGACGCUCAGGUGCGAAAAGCGUGGGGAGCAAAACAGGAUUAGAUACCCUGGUAGUCCACGCUGUAAAACGAUGUCGAUUUUGGAGGUUGUGCCCUUGAGGCGUGGCUUCCGGAGCUAACGCGUUAAA
RNAcentral lists this ribosomal RNA (520 nucleotides) under uncultured bacterium. RNAcentral's name for it is "partial 16S ribosomal RNA". It matches the Rfam family "Bacterial small subunit ribosomal RNA", at positions 355 to 864 of the family's 1533-position model. The record is from RNAcentral.